This 657-nucleotide ribosomal RNA is filed under the name Sarcocystis sp. Its description in RNAcentral is "SSU rRNA". It matches the Rfam family "Eukaryotic small subunit ribosomal RNA", at positions 294 to 917 of the family's 1831-position model. Lineage: Eukaryota; Apicomplexa; Conoidasida; Eucoccidiorida; Sarcocystidae. The record is from RNAcentral.
AUCACUCAAUUUUACGACUCAUCAUUCUUCGAUAGUACAGUACUGGACUACGGCAGCAGUGACGAGUAACGAGUUAGUGGGAUUUUAUUCAGGGGAGGCAUCAGGGGAAGGGGCUACCUCUUGUAAGGACGGCAGCAGGCGAACAAACUCCUUCAUCAUGCAUCGGGGUAGUAGCGACAAGAAACAACACCACAGGAAAUAGUAUUUGUAGUGAGAGGAAUGAUGGUACUCCAACCCUUUUUAGUAGCAACAAUGGGAGGGCUAGUCUGGCGCCAGCAGCCGUAAUACUCCCUGCCCCAACAGAGUAUAUUAAAGUUGCAGCAGAAAAAAUCCUAGUAGUAGGUUAUCUGGAGGCAGCAAUUAGUCCGCCCUUUUAAUAAGGGUCAGCACAUGAAGUAUUGCGGCAUGUUUUCAUCAUAAUAAAGGGAUAAUAUCAUGAGAGCAUAUCUCCUGAUAUGGGCGUUACCCUUGUUGGGAUGACAGUUACUUUGAGAAAAUUAGAGUGUUUGAAGCAGGCUUUUGUGGCCUUGAAUACUGCAGCAUGGAAUAACAAUAUAGGAUUUCGGUUCUGUUAGUUUGUUGGUUUUCUGUAGGACUGAAAUAACUGAUUAAUAGGGACAGUUGGGGGCACUCGUAUUUAACUGUCAGAGGUGAAAU